AUUGAACGCUGGCGGCAGGCCUAACACAUGCAAGUCGAACGAGUGGCGGACGGGUGAGUAAUGUCUGGGAAACUGCCCGAUGGAGGGGGAUAACUACUGGAAACAGUAGCUAAUACCGCAUACCAUCGGAUGUGCCCAGAUGGGAUUAGCUGGUAGGUGGGGUAACGGCUCACCUAGGCGACGAUCCCUAGCUGGUCUGAGAGGAUGACCAGCAACACGGGAACGGAGAAACGGCCCAGACUCCUACGGGAGGCAGCAGUGGGGAAUAUUGGACAAUGGGGGAAAGCCUGAUGCAGCAAGGCCGCGUGUAUGAAGAAGGCCUUCGGGUUGUAAAGUACUUUCAGCGAGGCGGCGUUACCCGCAGAAGAAGCACCGGCUAACUCCGUGCCAGCCGCCGCGGUAAUAC
This 406-nucleotide ribosomal RNA is filed under the name uncultured bacterium. RNAcentral describes it as "partial 16S ribosomal RNA". It matches the Rfam family "Bacterial small subunit ribosomal RNA", at positions 29 to 526 of the family's 1533-position model. The record is from RNAcentral.